Molecule: ribosomal RNA, 2001 nt
Filed under: Wilbertia typica
Lineage: Eukaryota; Ciliophora; Oligohymenophorea; Pleuronematida; Eurystomatellidae
Description: eukaryotic LSU rRNA
Rfam family: Eukaryotic large subunit ribosomal RNA
Source: RNAcentral
ACCUGAGUUCAGCAGGAUAACCCGCUGAACUUAAGCAUAUCAGUAAGCGGAGGAAAAGAAACUAACAAGGAUUGCCCCAGUAGCGGCGAGUGAACAGGCAAAAGCUCAAAAUGGAAAUCCUUUUCACAAUUUAGAGUGAAGGAAUUGUAAUCUAGAGGACAGUUGCGAAGGCAUAGUUUCAGCAUGAGUUCCUUGGAAUAGGACGCCAAAGAGGGUGAUAGCCCCAUACAUGGCUGGAGACUGGCUGUAGGAGCUGUUAUUCAAAGAGUCGGGUUGUUUGGGAUUGCAGCCCUAAGUGGGAGAUAAACUUCUUCUAAAGCUAAAAUAUUGAUGGGAAACCGAUAGCGAACAAGUACUACGAAGGAAAGAUGAAAAGAACUUUGAAAAGAGGGUUAAAAGACUUGAAAUCGUUGAGUAGGAAGCAGUUGGAGGGCAGUCACUUGUCUACGAUAUUGGUGAGAGCUGGUGGAAUAAAGCACUUCAGCGCGUAGUUAGCGAAGGCUUUUUCUUCGGUCGCUGGUAAUUACUCCCAAAUUACCUACUUAUUAGGAAACGGAGUGAUAAUGGGAUGGUACUUAACAGGGCCUACCAGCCAGUCGAUAACGGACAGCUGCGCCUUAUUCGAAAGCAAAAGACAGAUUGGACAUCAGAGUGCGGGAAUAAACGUGGGGGGUCGCACUGAGCCCUAGUUGCUUGGAGCCCCUGCGCAGAAACCGGGACUAGGUGUUGAGGGAUCCUGCGGGAGAAUCUGUCACGACGUCUCCAACUGACCCGUCUUGAAACACGGACCAAGGAGUGUACCAGUCAUGCGAGUGAUAGGGUGGAAAAACCCGAUCGCGCAGAGAAAUCGAGUAAAAGCAGCGAAUAACAAUGCAGCUGCGGCCUACCCUGAGUUUCUAACGAAGGGCUAGAGCAAGAGCAAGCUUGGUACGACCCGAAAGAUGGUGAACUACGCUUGAGUACGCCGAAGCCAGGGGAAACUCUGGUGGAAGGUGGAAGCGAUACUGACGUGCAAAUCGUUCGUCAAACUUGGGUGUAGGGGCGAAAGACUAAUCGAACCAUCUAGUAGCUGGUUCCCUCUGAAGUUUCUCUCAGGAUAGCUGAAGCCACCACAAAAGCAGUUUUAUCAGGUAAAGCGAAUGAUUAGAGGAUCCGGCGAUCAAAGAUUGUUGACCUAUUCUCAAACUUCAAAUUGGUAAGCACCCUUAGUUACGCUUAAUUGAACUAGGGGGUAGAAUGCAGGGCUUCAAGUGGGCCAUUUUUGGUAAGCAGAACUGGCGAUGAGGGAUGCUCCUUUCGUUGAGAUAAGGUGCCAAAGUACCCGCUUAUCAGACACCAUAAAAGAUGUUGGUUCAUUUAGACAGCAGGACGGUGGCCCUGGAAGUCGGAACCCGCUAAGGAGUGUGUAACAACUCACCUGCCGAAUGAACUAGCUCUGAAAAUUGAUGGCGCUCAGCGGGACACCGAUACUCAACCAUUGCUGCAAAUAAGAUGCAUGCAAUGCGUAAGAGGGCGUGGACGUCCGGUGUGGAAGGCUAGGGUGUGAACCCGGCUGGAACGGCGUCUAGUGCAGAUCUUGGUGGUAGUAGCAAAUAUUCAAAUGAGAACUUUGAAGACCGAAGUGGGGAAGGGUUCCGCGAGAACAGCAAUUGGUCGCGGGUUAGUCGGUCCUAAGGCUAAGGCGAACGCCGAAAGCAUGGAGAACUUCUGCUUCUCCGCUGCCGAAAGGGAAAGCGGUUAACAUCCCGCUACCUACAUACGGAUAUUAUGCGGCAACGCAAACAAUCCCGAAGACGUCGGCAUGUGUCACUGGAAGAGUUCUCUUUUCUUUUUAACUAGUCAUGACCACGGAACUGGAUUAUCCAGAGAUCUGGUUGUACGCUAGGCAGAGCAGUCCACUCUACGGGCUGUCAGUUGCACACGUGACGAUCAAUGAAAAUUCGGGGGCGAGGAUUAUUUCGUAGUAGGCCGUACCCAUAACCGCAUCAGGUCUCCAAGGUU